ACUCCUGCGGGAGGCAGCAGUGGGGAAUUUUGGACAAUGGGCGAAAGCCUGAUCCAGCCAUGCCGCGUGCAGGAUGAAGGCCUUCGGGUUGUAAACUGCUUUUGUACGGAACGAAACGGCCUUUUCUAAUAAAGAGGGCUAAUGACGGUACCGUAAGAAUAAGCACCGGCUAACUACGUGCCAGCAGCCGCGGUAAUACGUAGGGUGCAAGCGUUAAUCGGAAUUACUGGGCGUAAAGCGUGCGCAGGCGGUUAUGUAAGACAGUUGUGAAAUCCCCGGGCUCAACCUGGGAACUGCAUCUGUGACUGCAUAGCUAGAGUACGGUAGAGGGGGAUGGAAUUCCGCGUGUAGCAUUGAAAUGCGUAGAUAUGCGGAGGAACACCGAUGGCGAAGGCAAUCCCCUGGACCUGUACUGACGCUCAUGCACGAAAGCGUGGGGAGCAAACAGGAUUAGAAACCCGAGUAGUCCCAUGA
RNAcentral lists this ribosomal RNA (474 nucleotides) under uncultured organism. RNAcentral describes it as "partial 16S ribosomal RNA". It matches the Rfam family "Bacterial small subunit ribosomal RNA", at positions 335 to 800 of the family's 1533-position model. The record is from RNAcentral.